UGGGGAAUUUUGGACAAUGGGCGAAAGCCUGAUCCAGCAAUGCCGCGUGUGUGAAGAAGGCCUUCGGGUUGUAAAGCACUUUUGUCCGGAAAGAAAUCCUUGGACUCUAAUACAGUCGGGGGAUGACGGUACCGGAAGAAUAAGCACCGGCUAACUACGUGCCAGCAGCCGCGGUAAUACGUAGGGUGCAAGCGUUAAUCGGAAUUACUGGGCGUAAAGCGUGCGCAGGCGGUUUGCUAAGACCGAUGUGAAAUCCCCGGGCUCAACCUGGGAACUGCAUUGGUGACUGGCAGGCUAGAGUAUGGCAGAGGGGGGUAGAAUUCCACGUGUAGCAGUGAAAUGCGUAGAGAUGUGGAGGAAUACCGAUGGCGAAGGC
RNAcentral lists this ribosomal RNA (376 nucleotides) under uncultured bacterium. Its description in RNAcentral is "partial 16S ribosomal RNA". It matches the Rfam family "Bacterial small subunit ribosomal RNA", at positions 355 to 722 of the family's 1533-position model. The record is from RNAcentral.